GUUCACCAAAAACUCCACACUCUCACCUCUCUGCCGUAUUUCAGGGUUAUCUAUCUAGGUUAUAAACGGUUUCUUGGUUCCAACCACGUCCUACCUCUCUCUUCUAAUUUAGGUGGACAACCUCAACAACGCUCCCCAUAUCAAACUUCCCACCAUCACCAUCGAUCUCCCUCACCGGCAUCCCAAAACUUGCAUCAAAAAUAUCUGAUUUUCUUGAUUCUUGCUCUGAAUAAAACCGGGUUUUGUUUUCAUUCAUCCGCAUCAUGGAUUCCUCUUCGGGAUCAGAAUUUGAUUAUUUGUUCAAGUUAUUUAUGAUUCGGGAUUCCGGAUUUGGUAAGAACAAUUGUUUUUACGAUAUUUUUGAUAUGAUCUGAAAUUGUUUUGAUUAAAAGCCAGAGUAGCAUUGAUUUGGUUUACACCUACGUUGGAAAAUUUAGGCCUGGUGCUGCUAAAUAUGCAUCAUUUUCUUUAAGCAUGUUGUUUAAUUUCGACGACAGUAACCUGCGUAUAAUCUGCCGAAUCAGGAAGCUUCGCCAUUUAGGUGAUGUUCAUACAUCGUUUACAAGGUAAAUUAGCUCCGUGAUGGUAUAGUUUCAUAUUUGUAGCUUGAUCUUUGAUUAACGGAUUAGGCUGGGUUUGUAAUUUGUAUCCAUUCCUUCGGUUCCAUUUGGUUUUGAUGCAAAAUUGAUGUGGCGAAUAGAGAUCCAUCUAAAGUUCGCUAAUUCUGAGACAUAUGCUUGAUGUCUGAGAUUGGUCAGGCUGUAAGUAAUUAGAUAUUCCGCAGCUUGCUUUCCAUAUUAUGGUCUUUAAUAUCUCAGAAAAACUUUAAUCUUUCUUGUAGUGAUUAAGAUCAUAUAAAUCUUGUAAUAUAUUUGUGUCUAGUCUCCAAGUGUGAUUACAAAAGCCCAAUCCGAAGCUCUUGCUGGUGGAUGCACUUUCAAGAUGAUUCAACAUACAUAUGUGAGACUGCAACAAAGACUUGCCAGAUGACCUUGCUCAGUUAGGUUAAUUUUAGUGGAGCUUUUGCCUUUUGGUGGACAUUUGCCAACUUUUAAAGUCUGCUAUUUUUUUGCAAACGGUGUGCACAAAGAGGUCCUGAUUCAGUGUGUUCAUGAGUUGGUUACGGCAUCAAUGAAGUAAAAAGAAACCCACACGUAAUUACAUGUUUUUGGAGCUUGAGGAGCCAUGUCAUCAUGGAUACAAGCACGGAAGGACAAGGGGUCAAAAAGUAAACACUAAAGCUAUGCGUAAAUUCGGACGCACGAGGUGAUGAGAAGAAAUACACUCAUGCUAAUUUCCAAGGCAGUUGUAGCCAUUCGGUUUUUUCAGUGGACACUGGACAAUAGGAAUGGUCAAAGUCAACCAUAAAAUUUGUGAUCUUCUCCUCGUAGAUUGAUGGAAAAGACACAGCUCCAAGGAGAAAUCCCAUCAGAUGCAUUCCAUCCUCAGUUAGAGAGUUUGUAAACGUGUCACAAUCUUGAAAAUACUGAAAUAGAGCUUUCAAAGGAAUCUGAAAUUGUUAUUAAUCCAUUUCAUAAAUGAGCUAGAAGGUGGACACGAAUGAAUGUUGGACAACUUGACAGACCCCGGGUGAGCAAGCUGAACCCAACACAGAAGGUUGGACAAUUUUAGAAGCUGUGACUAAACCAACUGCAAUGUCAUAUGACGUUUAAUAGUAACAUCUUAAAGUUUUGUUUUGUUGAGACUUGAGUUAUUUUUGUUCUCAAAGGAUUGCAAGAUUAAAUAUUAGUUAUGUUGGUUUGUGAGAUAAAGAUAUUAAGAGAACCAACGAAAUUGA
This 1798-nucleotide long non-coding RNA is filed under the name Helianthus annuus (common sunflower). Its description in RNAcentral is "hypothetical non coding rna". The record is from RNAcentral. Lineage: Eukaryota; Viridiplantae; Streptophyta; Magnoliopsida; Asterales; Asteraceae.